This 492-nucleotide ribosomal RNA is filed under the name uncultured bacterium. Its description in RNAcentral is "partial 16S ribosomal RNA". It matches the Rfam family "Bacterial small subunit ribosomal RNA", at positions 30 to 507 of the family's 1533-position model. The record is from RNAcentral.
AUUGAACGCUGGCGGCAUGCUUUACACAUGCAAGUCGAACGGUAACAGGCCUUCGGGUGCUGACGAGUGGCGAACGGGUGAGUAAUGCAUCGGAACGUGCCCAGAGGUGGGGGAUAACGCAGCGAAAGCUGUGCUAAUACCGCAUGUGAUCUGAGGAUGAAAGCGGGGGACCAGGCAGCAAUGUUUGGCCUCGCGCCUUUGGAGCGGCCGAUGUCAGAUUAGGUAGUUGGUGGGGUAAAGGCCUACCAAGCCGACGAUCUGUAGCUGGUCUGAGAGGACGACCAGCCACACUGGGACUGAGACACGGCCCAGACUCCUACGGGAGGCAGCAGUGGGGAAUUUUGGACAAUGGGCGCAAGCCUGAUCAAGCAAUGCCGCGUGCGGGAAGAAGGCCUUCGGGUUGUAAACCGCUUUUGUACGGAACGAAAAGGCUCUGGCUAAUACCUGGGGCUGAUGACGGUACCGUAAGAAUAAGCACCGGCUAACUACGUG